This 924-nucleotide ribosomal RNA is filed under the name uncultured bacterium. Its description in RNAcentral is "bacterial SSU rRNA". It matches the Rfam family "Bacterial small subunit ribosomal RNA", at positions 13 to 919 of the family's 1533-position model. The record is from RNAcentral.
UUGAUCCUGGCUCAGGACGAACGCUGGCGGCGUGCCUAAUACAUGCAAGUAGAACGCUGAAGAGAGGAGCUUGCUCUUCUUGGAAGAGUUGCGAACGGGUGAGUAACGCGUAGGUAACCUGCCUACUAGCGGGGGAUAACUAUUGGAAACGAUAGCUAAUACCGCAUAACAGCAUUUAACCCAUGUUAGAUGCUUGAAAGGAGCAAUUGCUUCACUAGUAGAUGGACCUGCGUUGUAUUAGCUAGUUGGUGAGGUAACGGCUCACCAAGGCGACGAUACAUAGCCGACCUGAGAGGGUGAUCGGCCACACUGGGACUGAGACACGGCCCAGACUCCUACGGGAGGCAGCAGUAGGGAAUCUUCGGCAAUGGGGGCAACCCUGACCGAGCAACGCCGCGUGAGUGAAGAAGGUUUUCGGAUCGUAAAGCUCUGUUGUAAGAGAAGAACGUGUGUGAGAGUGGAAAGUUCACACAGUGACGGUAACUUACCAGAAAGGGACGGCUAACUACGUGCCAGCAGCCGCGGUAAUACGUAGGUCCCGAGCGUUGUCCGGAUUUAUUGGGCGUAAAGCGAGCGCAGGCGGUUUAAUAAGUCUGAAGUUAAAGGCAGUGGCUUAACCAUUGUUCGCUUUGGAAACUGUUAGACUUGAGUGCAGAAGGGGAGAGUGGAAUUCCAUGUGUAGCGGUGAAAUGCGUAGAUAUAUGGAGGAACACCGGUGGCGAAAGCGGCUCUCUGGUCUGUAACUGACGCUGAGGCUCGAAAGCGUGGGGAGCAAACAGGAUUAGAUACCCUGGUAGUCCACGCCGUAAACGAUGAGUGCUAGGUGUUAGGCCCUUUCCGGGGCUUAGUGCCGCAGCUAACGCAUUAAGCACUCCGCCUGGGGAGUACGACCGCAAGGUUGAAACUCAAAUGAAUUGACGGAAG